RNAcentral lists this ribosomal RNA (250 nucleotides) under uncultured bacterium. RNAcentral describes it as "partial 16S ribosomal RNA". It matches the Rfam family "Bacterial small subunit ribosomal RNA", at positions 335 to 577 of the family's 1533-position model. The record is from RNAcentral.
UGUCCUACGGGGGGCAGCAGUAGGGAAUCUUCCACAAUGGACGCAAGCCUGAUGCAGCAACGCCGCGUGAGUGAAGAAGGGUUUCGGCUCGUAAAUCUCUGUUGGUAGUGAAGAAAGAUAGAAGGAUUAACUGGCCUUUAUUUGACGGUAAUUACUUAGAAAGUCACGGCUAACUACGUGCCAGCAGCCGCGGUAAUACGUAGGUGGCAAGCGUUGUCCGGAUUUAUUGGGCGUAAAGCGAGUGCAGGCG